This 493-nucleotide ribosomal RNA is filed under the name uncultured bacterium. RNAcentral's name for it is "bacterial SSU rRNA". It matches the Rfam family "Bacterial small subunit ribosomal RNA", at positions 28 to 506 of the family's 1533-position model. The record is from RNAcentral.
GAUGAACGCUAGCGGCAGGCCUAAUACAUGCAAGUCGUACGGCAACACAGUUGCGAGCAAUCGCAACCGGUGGCGAGUGGCGCACGGGUGAGUAACGCGUAUGUAACCUACCCUUCUCCGGGACAUAACUCCGCGAAAGCGGUGCUAAUAUCCCAUACCAACUCAUCAAGACAUCUUCUUGAGUUGAAAGCAGCAAUGCGGUGAAGGAUGGGCAUGCGUCCCAUUAGCUGGUUGGUGAGGUAAUGGCCCACCAAGGCUACGAUGGGUAGGGGUUCUGAGAGGAAAGCCCCCCAACUGGUACUGAGACACGGACCAGACUCCUACGGGAGGCAGCAGUAAGGAAUAUUGGGCAAUGGUCGAAAGACUGACCCAGCCAUGCCGCGUGCAGGAUGAAGGCCCUAUGGGUUGUAAAGCACUUUCAGUGGGAAGAACGGGUCCGGCAAUACCCCGGAUCACUGACGUUACCCACAGAAGAAGCACCGGCUAACUCCGU